UAUAUACUCCCUCCGUUCGGAAAUACUUGUCGGGGAAUGGGUGUAUCUAGAUGCAUUUUAGCUCUAGAUACAUCCAUUUCUAUCCAUUUUUGCAACAAGUAAUUCCGUAUAGAGGGAGUAUAAA
Non-coding RNA from Hordeum vulgare subsp. vulgare (domesticated barley), 124 nucleotides. The record is from Rfam. NCBI's taxonomy places the organism in Eukaryota, Viridiplantae, Streptophyta, Magnoliopsida, Poales, Poaceae.